GAUGAACGCUGGCGGCGUGCCUAAUACAUGCAAGUCGAGCGAACGGACGAGAAGCUUGCUUCUCUGAUGUUAGCGGCGGACGGGUGAGUAACACGUGGAUAACCUACCUAUAAGACUGGGAUAACUUCGGGAAACCGGAGCUAGUACCGGAUAAUAUUUUGAACCGCAUGGUUCAAAAGUGAAAGACGGUCUUGCUGUCACUUAUAGAUGGAUCCGCGCUGCAUUAGCUAGUUGGUAAGGUAACGGCUUACCAAGGCAACGAUGCAUAGCCGACCUGAGAGGGUGAUCGGCCACACUGGAACUGAGACACGGUCCAGACUCCUACGGGAGGCAGCAGUAGGGAAUCUUCCGCAAUGGGCGAAAGCCUGACGGGGCAACGCCGCGUGAGUGAUGAAGGUCUUCGGAUCGUAAAACUCUGUUAUUAGGGAAGAACAUAUGUGUAAGUAACUGUGCACAUCUUGACGGUACCUAAUCAGAAAGCCACGGCUAACUACGUG
This 497-nucleotide ribosomal RNA is filed under the name uncultured bacterium. Its description in RNAcentral is "partial 16S ribosomal RNA". It matches the Rfam family "Bacterial small subunit ribosomal RNA", at positions 28 to 507 of the family's 1533-position model. The record is from RNAcentral.